CGAUAUGUUGUGUGCGUCGGUGCCCGACCAGAUAUUUAACUGGCGGGCUUGAGGGAAUCCGGUGUAACUCCGGAACUGCCCCGCAGCGGUAGAGCGGAAACGAACGUCCCCACAUGCACUGGCCCUCGGUGGCCGGGAAGCGAGGACAAGUAGGCGGAUCGCCAGAUCCAUGUCCGCAAGUCCGAAGACCUGCCGGCACACCGGGACGAAC
This 211-nucleotide non-coding RNA is filed under the name Rhodanobacter spathiphylli. Lineage: Bacteria; Pseudomonadati; Pseudomonadota; Gammaproteobacteria; Lysobacterales; Rhodanobacteraceae. The record is from RNAcentral.